Molecule: ribosomal RNA, 398 nt
Filed under: uncultured bacterium
Lineage: Bacteria
Description: bacterial SSU rRNA
Rfam family: Bacterial small subunit ribosomal RNA
Source: RNAcentral
AGUCAAUAGAUACCCAGGUAGUCCACGCCCUAAACGAUGUCAACUAGUUGUUGGGGAGUAAAAUCCCUUAGUAAACGCAGCUAAACGCGUGAAGUUGACCGCCUGGGGAGUACGGUCGCAAGAUUAAAGCUCAAAGGAAUUGACGGGGGCCCGCACAAGCGGUGGAUUAUGUGGAUUAAUUCGAUGCAACGCGAAAAACCUUACCUGGCCUUGACAUGCCACUAACGAAGCAGAGAUGCAUUAGGUGCCCGAAAGGGAAAGUGGACACAGGUGCUGCAUGGCUGUCGUCAGCUCGUGUCGUGAGAUGUUGGGUUAAGUCCCGCAACGAGCGCAACCCUUGCCAAUAAUUGCCAUCAUUCAGUUGGGCACUUUAUUGGGACUGCCGGUGACAAACCGGA